RNAcentral lists this ribosomal RNA (834 nucleotides) under uncultured bacterium. RNAcentral's name for it is "bacterial SSU rRNA". It matches the Rfam family "Bacterial small subunit ribosomal RNA", at positions 8 to 890 of the family's 1533-position model. The record is from RNAcentral.
AGAGUUUGAUCAUGGCUCAGAACGUACGCUGGCGGCACGCCUAACACAUGCAAGUCGAACGAAGUAGCAAUACUUAGUGGCAGACGGGUGAGUAACAUGUGGGUAUCUACCCUUUGGCCUGGAAUAACACGAGGAAACUUGUGCUAAUACUGGAUAAGUCUUUACGGAGAAAGCUUUAUGCACCAUUGGAUGAGCCCGCACUUGAUUAGUUUGUUGGUGGGGUAAUGGCCUACCAAGACUGUGAUCAAUAGCUGAUUUGAGAGGAUGAUCAGCCACAUUGGGACUGAGACACGGCCCAAACUCCUACGGGAGGCAGCAGUGGGGAAUCUUGCACAAUGGAGGAAACUCUGAUGCAGCGAUGCCGCGUGAGUGAAGAAGGCCUUUGGGUUGUAAAGCUCUUUCGUCGGGGAAGAAAAUGACUGUACCCGAAUAAGAAGGUCCGGCUAACUUCGUGCCAGCAGCCGCGGUAAUACGAAGGGACCUAGCGUAGUUCGGAAUUACUGGGCUUAAAGAGUUCGUAGGUGGUUGAAAAAGUUGGUGGUGAAAUCCCAGAGCUUAACUCUGGAACUGCCAUCAAAACUUUUCAGCUAGAGUUUGAUAGAGGAAAGCAGAAUUUCUAGUGUAGAGGUGAAAUUCGUAGAUAUUAGAAAGAAUACCAAUUGCGAAGGCAGCUUUCUGGAUCAUUACUGACACUGAGGAACGAAAGCAUGGGUAGCGAAGAGGAUUAGAUACCCUCGUAGUCCAUGCCGUAAACGAUGUGUGUUAGACGUUGGAAAUUUAUUUUCAGUGUCGCAGCGAAAGCGAUAAACACACCGCCUGGGGAGUACGACCGCA